UGCUGAGCUUGAUGUUUGUGAAUAAGCCCAUUGUGUCCACCCACCUAAAACUCCACACGAGAUGGAGGCCUAAGCAGGAGACAGAUAGCCAAAGAAUGAGGAGGAGGUGUGAGCAACGAUGUUUCAGAUGUAUUUUUUAGUUCUGUGGUUGUGUCUGUCUUUCUUACAUACUUGUCCUUUUUUUAAAGUUCUUUUUUGUGUGUGUGUGGGAAGAGCAGAAAACCAUCCAACUUCCUGGAUUAAAAGAAAUAUAAAAAUACCACCACCACUUUUAAUAUAACUGCAUUUACCAUUAUCCGUGUCCCUGUAAUAUACCCCCAAAUGAGGAAAUUUAAAGGAAAAGGGAAAAUGGUUGGAGUUUUGUUGUUGCUGUUGUUGUGUUCCUUUGAUUGGUUUCCUUCCAGCUUAAGCAUUCUGGUUUCCUGGUUAUGUGUUCGUUUCUUUGGAAACGGCUGUAGGAUGGAUUUUUGAUUGACUGUGUUGUCAGAUGGAUUAUCAGAGUUGCGAGCUUUUUGGAAUGGUAGACAUGAAUGUGUGAUAAGAAAAAAUAUUUUGUACUUCGUUUUAAAUGUUGCAUCAUGAAAGAAGCUAGAUUGAAUAUUUAACAGGUUACAUAGGGAAAAAGUUUAUUAAAAAAAUAGAAGUCAACUGAUUUGGUUACUACGAAAAAAUUUCUGUUAAUAUGAGGAAAGGUUUUACUAAUGUGACUGAUGGGAAUAUUAAUACCUAAGCAAUGUAGAAUAGUUUCUGCAGAGCUGCAAUGCUUAUUCUAAGCAGUAAUUCUAAUGUGUAGCUUGUCUAGAUUACAAGCAGAAAGCAGCUUGUACCCUGACCUAUACACACACUUAUUUGUUACAGCACUUACGUGCCCAGAUUUCUGCAUGAUUCCCAUCUAGUGUUUCUGAGUUUGCUUCCUGUCUUAGUCAGGGCUCUGCAAGGCCAGCUGUCCUCAAGGCUGCAAGCGGUUGGUGCGGCUCUGCUCGUGCUGGGGAUGCUGAGGCUGGGGCAGAUUGCUGGCAGGAGGCCGAGGGUGAUGUCAGUGCCCACCUUGCUGGGAGAGUUAAUCUCCUGCUGCAGAGAGACUCUAAUAAUCUCCUCACUGGGGAGACUCGUGUGUUAAGAUCGCAUGUUGUACAUUCCUCUUCUAGGGCUGUAAAGCAAUUGGCAAAGUUAGUGUUUCUAAAGCUCUAUUGACAGACGUGCUUGUCAGAGGUUGUUUCUUUUUGGGGUGGAGGUGCAUAGGCGCGGGAAAGAAAAUUAACUUUUUAAAGGUUGCACAUAUGAAACAAUAACAAAACCAGGUUAGUAAGGUCCAAUAUAUGAAGUGAGCAGGUAUUUAAUGAUGCUGUAAGAGACACUAUCUCCUUUCCGGACAUAAACAAA
This 1383-nucleotide long non-coding RNA is filed under the name Strigops habroptila (Kakapo). RNAcentral's name for it is "lncRNA (ENSSHBG00005008967.1)". Lineage: Eukaryota; Metazoa; Chordata; Aves; Psittaciformes; Psittacidae. The record is from RNAcentral.